This 78-nucleotide transfer RNA is filed under the name Chloroflexota bacterium. RNAcentral's name for it is "tRNA-Arg". It matches the Rfam family "tRNA". From Rfam's summary of the family: Transfer RNA (tRNA) molecules are approximately 80 nucleotides in length. Their secondary structure includes four short double-helical elements and three loops (D, anti-codon, and T loops). The record is from RNAcentral. Lineage: Bacteria; Bacillati; Chloroflexota. RNAcentral also lists the same sequence under 2 other names.
GACCCUGUAGCUCAGUGGAUUCAGAGCGCUUCCCUGCGGAGGAAGAGGCCACUGGUUCGAGUCCAGUCAGGGUCGCCA